RNAcentral lists this ribosomal RNA (512 nucleotides) under uncultured Arcobacter sp. RNAcentral's name for it is "bacterial SSU rRNA". It matches the Rfam family "Bacterial small subunit ribosomal RNA", at positions 381 to 910 of the family's 1533-position model. Lineage: Bacteria; Pseudomonadati; Campylobacterota; Epsilonproteobacteria; Campylobacterales; Arcobacteraceae. The record is from RNAcentral.
GUCUGAUGCAGCAACGCCGCGUGGAGGAUGACACAUUUCGGUGCGUAAACUCCUUUUAUAUGAGAAGAUAAUGACGGUAUUAUAUGAAUAAGCACCGGCUAACUCCGUGCCAGCAGCCGCGGUAAUACGGGGGGUGCAAGCGUUACUCGGAAUCACUGGGCGUAAAGAGCAUGUAGGCGGAUUAAUAAGUUUGAAGUGAAAUCCUAUAGCUUAACUAUAGAACUGCUUUGAAAACUGUUAAUCUAGAAUGUGGGAGAGGUAGAUGGAAUUUCUGGUGUAGGGGUAAAAUCCGUAGAGAUCAGAAGGAAUACCGAUUGCGAAGGCGAUCUACUGGAACAUUAUUGACGCUGAGAUGCGAAAGCGUGGGGAGCAAACAGGAUUAGAUACCCUGGUAGUCCACGCCCUAAACGAUGUACACUAGUUGUUGUGAGACUUGAUCUUGCAGUAAUGCAGUUAACACAUUAAGUGUACCGCCUGGGGAGUACGGUCGCAAGAUUAAAACUCAAAGGAAU